RNAcentral lists this unclassified non-coding RNA (306 nucleotides) under soil metagenome. RNAcentral describes it as "partial contains 5.8S ribosomal RNA, internal transcribed spacer 2, and large subunit ribosomal RNA". The stretch from base 1 to 118 matches the Rfam family "5.8S ribosomal RNA", at positions 35 to 154 of the family's 154-position model. The record is from RNAcentral.
GAUGAAGAACGUAGCGAAGCGCGAAAUGUAGUGUGAAUCGCAGAACAUUGUGAAUCAUCGAAUCUUUGAACGCACAUUGCGCCUCUGGUAACUCGGAGGCAUGCCUGUCUGAGCGUCAUUUAAAACAAUAGACCCGCCAGGCGGGUUUGUAUUGGGCGUCGCGUCCUGGCGUAGCCUCAAAGACAUUGGUCACACAUGCGGACGAGCUCCUUUCGGACAGACCGUGUCAUGACUUUAAAACAUCUGACUUGACCUCAGAUCAGGUGGGACUACCGCCUGAACUUAAGCAUAUCAAUAAGCGGAGGA